This 864-nucleotide ribosomal RNA is filed under the name uncultured bacterium. RNAcentral's name for it is "bacterial SSU rRNA". It matches the Rfam family "Bacterial small subunit ribosomal RNA", at positions 98 to 964 of the family's 1533-position model. The record is from RNAcentral.
GCGCACGGGUGAGUAACGCGUAUGCAACCUGCCUUUAACAGGGGGAUAGCCCGGAGAAAUCCGGAUUAAUACCCCAUAGUAUUUAGGUUCCGCAUGGGAUUUAAAUUAAAGCUCCGGCGGUUAAAGAUGGGCAUGCGUGACAUUAGUUAGUUGGUGAGGUAACGGCUCACCAAGACUACGAUGUCUAGGGGUUCUGAGAGGAUGAUCCCCCACACUGGUACUGAGACACGGACCAGACUCCUACGGGAGGCAGCAGUGAGGAAUAUUGGUCAAUGGGCGCAAGCCUGAACCAGCCAUCCCGCGUGAAGGAAGACGGCCCUAUGGGUUGUAAACUUCUUUUGUACACCAAGAAAUGUCCGUACGAGUAUGGAUUUGACGGUAGUGUAUGAAUAAGCAUCGGCUAACUCCGUGCCAGCAGCCGCGGUAAUACGGAGGAUGCAAGCGUUAUCCGGAUUCAUUGGGUUUAAAGGGUACGUAGGUGGCUGAUUAAGUCAGUGGUGAAAACCUGCCGCUUAACGGUAGGCGUGCCAUUGAUACUGAUUGGCUUGAGUCCAGUUGAGGUAGGCGGAAUGUGUAGUGUAGCGGUGAAAUGCUUAGAUAUUACACAGAACUCCGAUUGCGAAGGCAGCUUACUAAACUGACACUGACGCUGAGGUACGAAAGCGUGGGUAGCGAACAGGAUUAGAUACCCUGGUAGUCCACGCCGUAAACGAUGCUCACUCGCUGUUUGCGAUACACAGCAAGCGGCUUAGCGAAAGCGAUAAGUGAGCCACCUGGGGAGUACGCCGGCAACGGUGAAACUCAAAGGAAUUGACGGGGCCCGCACAAGCGGAGGAACAUGUGGUUUAAUUCGAUGAUACGCGA